Molecule: non-coding RNA, 27 nt
Filed under: Homo sapiens (human)
Lineage: Eukaryota; Metazoa; Chordata; Mammalia; Primates; Hominidae
Source: RNAcentral
UGACAAAGAUAGGUGAUAAUGCAGGAA